Molecule: ribosomal RNA, 414 nt
Filed under: uncultured prokaryote
Description: bacterial SSU rRNA
Rfam family: Bacterial small subunit ribosomal RNA
Source: RNAcentral
GUGUCAGCCGCCGCGGUAAUACGUAGGGUGCAGGCGUUAAUCGGAAUUACUGGGCGUAAAGCGUGCGCAGGCGGUUUCUUAAGUCAGAUGUGAAAGCCCCGGGCUUAACCUGGGAACUGCGUUUGAAACUGGGAGACUUGAGUGUGGCAGAGGGGGGUGGAAUUCCACGUGUAGCAGUGAAAUGCGUAGAUAUGUGGAGGAACACCGAUGGCGAAGGCAGCCCCCUGGGUUAACACUGACGCUCAUGCACGAAAGCGUGGGGAGCAAACAGGAUUAGAUACCCUGGUAGUCCACGCCCUAAACUAUGUCAACUGGUUGUCGGGGGAUUAACUCCCUUGGUAACGAAGCUAACGCGUGAAGUUGACCGCCUGGGGAGUACGGCCGCAAGGUUAAAACUCAAAUGAAUUGACGGGG